CAGCAGCCGCGGUAAUACGUAGGGACCAAGCGUUGUCCGGAUUUAUUGGGCGUAAAGAGCUCGUAGGCGGUUCCGUAAGUCGGAUGUGAAAACUCAGGGCUCAACCCUGAGACGCCAUCUGAUACUGCGGUGACUAGAGUCCGGUAGGGGAGCAUGGAAUUCCUGGUGUAGCGGUGGAAUGCGCAGAUAUCAGGAGGAACACCAAUGGCGAAGGCAGCGCUCUGGGCCGGUACUGACGCUGAGGAGCGAAAGCAUGGGGAGCAAACAGGAUUAGAUACCCUGGUAGUCCAUGCCGUAAACGUUGGGCACUAGGUGUGGGGUCUUCUAACGGAUUCCGUGCCGUACCUAACGCAUUAAGUGCCCCGCCUGGGGAGUACGGCCGCAAGGCUAAAACUCAAAGGAAUUGACGGGGGCCCGCACAAGCGGCGGAGCAUGUUGCUUAAUUCGAGGCAACGCGAAGAACCUUACCUGGGUUUGACUACUGAGGGCCGGUACAGAGAUGUACCCUUCCCUUCGGGGACUUCAGGAGAGGUGCUGCAUGGCUGUCGUCAGCUCGUGC
RNAcentral lists this ribosomal RNA (559 nucleotides) under uncultured Actinomycetes bacterium. RNAcentral's name for it is "bacterial SSU rRNA". It matches the Rfam family "Bacterial small subunit ribosomal RNA", at positions 509 to 1065 of the family's 1533-position model. The record is from RNAcentral. Lineage: Bacteria; Bacillati; Actinomycetota; Actinomycetes.